GUAUUUCGUUUAAGAAAUUCGAUUACAUGCAUUAGACUGGAUGUUGUAUGAAAGAGGAAGCGAGGCCCCAGCCCCACCCCCACUCCACGAAGGAGAGGUUACGUGGAGCGGCUCCAUCACAGGGAGGGCCUCGUCCUAUAGUGCACAAGUGUGUGUAAUGGAUGAAGAGGUUCGAGAGGUCGUGCACGUUACACGCCGUAAGGCAUGCCAGCGACGGACCUCCCGCCUCUAUUACAUUCGAUAAUGAUCCUUCCGCAGGUUCACCUACGGAAA
Molecule: unclassified non-coding RNA, 273 nt
Filed under: uncultured fungus
Lineage: Eukaryota; Fungi
Description: sequence contains ITS1
Source: RNAcentral